This is a non-coding RNA of Rattus norvegicus (Norway rat), 5305 nucleotides long. Lineage: Eukaryota; Metazoa; Chordata; Mammalia; Rodentia; Muridae. The record is from RefSeq and is a predicted model, not a curated record.
AGUUUGAGUUCAUGUAAAUUUGGGGCAGUGCCAUGAGAAUUUUGACGUUGUUUAAGAUUCCCUGGUGGCCUAAUUAAUGCCAACCCUGAGAAUUCUCCUGAGCCCAUGCGGGCAAGGGAGCUGGGCAACUCGGCAACAUGCGGGUGAGGGACACGGGACAGCAAAGGCAAGGCACAUCUGACGCACUCUCCCCCACAACCUGGAGAAGGUGGGUACCUUCAGCAGCAGCAGCAGCAGCAGCACCUCUGGCUACUUCCUCACCCCAUGCUGUCCCAGAACCUGAAACCUGAGAAAGGCCAAGCCAGAGAGCAUGGUGGAGCGGUCCCUGGUCCCCUUGCUCUUAUCCAAUGGAGUGGAGUCCAAUGUGCAUGGCUGGUCUGUGGGUCCUACAUUGGGGGUUUGUUUAUGGCUGGUCUGUGUAUGUCCCUGAAUCCCAGUGACCUCCAAGUGACAUACUGUCCCCUCCGUAGAACUUUAACCACAGAACCACAACGCAAGCUGAAAGUAAAACCUGGCGGACCCCUAGGCAAGUAUUUAAAAUCUGACAUCCCAAUUUUUGCAUCCGUAAAAUGGGAGGCCUGCUUACGAGAGUUAUGAAGUCUGAGAGUUAAUGAACACAAAGUGUUCUUUAAAUGUGACCAGACACAUGAUACAUUUAGAGUAUCGACUCCUUUUUUUGUCUGAUCCGGUUUCUCUAUAUAGUGCUGGCUGUCCUAGAACUCAUAGUGUAGACCAGGCUGGCCUUGAGCCUUCCAGCUUCUGCCUCCUGAGUGCUGGGAUCAAAGAUGCCCACCACCACUGUCCAGCACAAUGAUCCUCAUUAGUGAUUCCCACUGGAGCAGAGGUCGCUGCUCAGCAGGAACAUGCUAGCCUAGUGUGGUGAGGGCCUGGCUUCCAUGCAUGCACACACACACACACACACACACACACACACACCACAGAUGCAUAGACACAGACAGACAGGCAGACACACACAUACUUGUUCACUCACUACUCAAUUUCAAAUAAGGAAACGGAGUCUCAGAAAUGAGAUCAAUUAUAGCGCAGUAGCUAAUCCUGCUCUGGGAUAGGGUGGGGAGACUCACAGCCACUCUAAAGCCUGUGUAUAAUGGGUGUGGCUUUUCACAUGGUGGCUGAGGUUAAAUGAGGUUUUGAUGUGUAAACGUUUAGCACAGACUGAGCCACUGGAGAAGCUCAAUAAAUCUUAGUUAAAAAGGAAAACAAGGAGCUAGAAGUGGAAAAGAAACAGUAACCUCGGGCCUGCACCGCUCUUCCUCAUGCAGGCCAUACAGCUCCUUCUGAGGCAAUGCUAGCUCCCAGUGUGGGCAUCAGAGCCAAGUACUCUACCCAAGACCUGUGGGUGAGUGAGCAUCUCUGCAGGCCAGCAGCACCAGGGCCAUAAAACCCAGCUGAGGCACACAUGGUCUGGGUACCCUCACAUGCUGAGCUGAGGGAAGGCUGAGCUUUCCACGGAAGAGGAAGUACCGGCUGCUGUGCUCCGGAAGAAACCCUAUUACCCUCAUCUACGAUUCCUGGAAGUCCAACCACACAGGCUGGGUGUAUGCACCACUGCCCCAGAUAAGACCAGGUUCAGUGCCACAGGGCUGCAUACAAGAAAUGACUCUGGCCAGGAUGGUGGUGGUACACCCCUUUAAUCCCAAUACUAAGGAGGCAGAGGCGGGAGGAUCUGAAGGCUAGCCUGAUCUACAAAAUGGCUUCUAGGACAGCCAAGGCGACACCAAAAAAAACCCUGUCUUGAAAAACAACAGGGCUGGAGAGAUGGCUCAGCGGUUAUGGGCACUGACUGCUCUUCCAAAGGUCCUGAGUUCAAUUCCCAGCAACCACAUGGUGGCUCACAACCAUCUGUAAUGAGACCUGAUGCCCUCUUCUGGUGUGUCCGGACAGCUACAGUGUACUUAUAAAUAAAUCUUAAAAAAAAAAAAAAGAAAAAGAAAAACAAAACAAAGCAAAAAAAGAAAAGAAAAACCGAUUCUGAACAAGAAGUAAGGGACGGCUGUUAUAAUCAUGAACCCUGAUGAAAACUAUUCACAGCCAUUUAAAGGUCUUCUUCCAGAAUGAUUCCCACCAGGGAUCUGUCCCGCACACUGGGAGAGCAAAGUCAGGGGAGCCCUGGCAGAACCUAGCAGCUGACAUCCAGGGCCCCAGCCGUGUUCCAGAGAGAUCGUAUCAGAUUAGAUUGCAUGCAGCUUCACAAGGUAAAUAUAGCCAGGGGCAGGACUCUUUGCCCAAAAUAAACAGCUCCUAGUCAGCCAGCAAGCCUCUACCAACCCGGCUGUACAGGGCCUGACAGAACAGAAGGGUCAGACCACUGGCCCUAAAUCACACCAGCCUACAGAUCCUUGAAGGAGAUACUGAGCAUCUUAAGUCUGAAGUAGGGGCUAAAGAUGAUUGAUCCUGCUGGGCGGUGGUGGCACACGCCUGUAAUUCAAACACUCAGGAGGCAGAGACAGGUAGGUCUCCAGGUUCAAGGCCAGCCUGGUCUACAUAGUAAAUUCAGGCCAGCCUGGUGAGUUCCGGGACAGCCAGGGAGACACAAAGAAACCUUGUCUCAGAGGGGAAAAUAAAAAAAAAAAAAGAUUAUUGAUCCUGUGGAAGGCAAGGCCUAGCUGACCUCCUGGUCAGACAUGUGGCCCCCACUUGAAUAUCAACCACCUAUACUUUCCUGCUAGGCUCCAUGGACCCCCUGCACACCUGCAUCCUGGUAAUCCAGACACUUUUUGGAGAACUCCUCGCCCCUUGCCGUGCCCAAUUCCCAGAACCAUUACAGGGGGAAACAUAGCUCUCUUCUCCCCAGCUCUUCCUGUUCCCCCUUCUGAGACAGUCAACAGCUACAGCCUUGGGUAGACCCCUCAAGACUCAGUCACAUGGGGUUCAAUGGACUGUCUGGAUUUGCUAACUCCAUUCCAAAUGCAGACCAUCUAUCUAGUGAGAUAGAUCUGAAUCCAGCCUCAUGGUUUACAGACUCUCUUGACCACGGCAGUCCAGUACUCCAAAUGUUCCUAAAAAUAGAUGUGCACCCUUUUAUGAAACAAACAAAAGUUUCACUAAACACCACGUAUUCUUGAAGCCUGCCAAUGCGGUCUAUUCUUAUGAGCCUGCACUUGCUCCCCCUCCCCCUGCUUCAGUUUAAGUAUUAAAUUUUUUAUUGAGAAUUCCUGGGAAGGUGGUUAUCUCCUCCCCUUCUGAAGAGACAAGACUGUAGGAAAUCACUGGGAAACCAAACACUGACCCAACCCGCCCUGGGCCAAUAAGGGGAAGAAGCCACCAGCCCUCUUAAAGGACUGGUCUUCAGUCUUCCUUAAUCCAAGAGGGCAGGUGCAGGGGGAUCGCCACUUGGUACUUGGGUCAGGGUGAGGUGUGCCGAGCCUCUAGCUGGCUUCUCAAAGACUGGAGGAGAUGCCUUCACUUUUCUGGAGGUGGAGAUCCCGAUGUCUACACAUACUGUUUUGAGGCAGGGUCUACUGUGUAGCUCUGGCUGCCCUGGAACUCACUAUGUAGACCAGGCUGGCCUUGAACUCACAGAGAUCCACUCAUCUUUGCCUCCUGAGUGCUGGGAUAAAGGCGUGCAUCCCCACCGCCACAUUUAUUUCUGACCCUUAAUGAGUAAAGGUUUGAGCACUGUGGGGUCCCCGUCCGGACACCGAGACUCAUUUGGUGUUUCAACCCGUCUGUCUCCCUUCACACCUUUAAUUUAGUGACUUGUUUUUUUAAUCUUUACUUUCUUAUUUUAUGUGCAUCUUACCUGAACACGCCUAGUGGCCCCCGAGGUCAGAAGAGGAUGUUGCACCCUGAGAACGGGACAUAAUGGAUGGCUGUGAGCAGCCAUGUGGGUGCCGGGACUCGAAGCCAGGUCCCCUAUAAGAGCAUGGAGGGUUUCUCACCACCGAGCCAAGUCUCCAGCACCCGUUCUUAGUUGUUUUGGAGACAAGACCUGACAAUGUAGCUCAGGGAGGCUUCAAACUCCUGGUCUCCCAGUCUUGGCUUCCGGUGUGCAACCCUGGUGCUUUCCUUUUUUUCUGGUGCUGGGAUUCAAACCCGGGGCCUUGUGCAUGGUCUACAGCUGAGCUAAAUCCCCAAGCGUCCCUAGAACUGUUCUGUUGUGUCAAGCACGUUCAGGAGAACAAGACCUGGUUUUUUUUUUCUCUUUUUCGAGAGAGAGUCUUACGUUCGCAGACUGGCCCCAUGCUUACGGUGUAGCUAAGGGUGACCUUGAGCUUCUGAUCUUCUGCCUCAACCUCCCAAGAACUGGAAUGACAGAUUUAAACCCCAAUGCCCGCCUUUUUUUUUUUUUUUUUUUUUUUUUUGGCAGGGAGGGCUUUUUCAAGACAAGACUUUUCUGUGUAGCCCUGGCUGUCCUGGAACCCGCUCUGCCUUCCUAUGCCCAGCUGCUGGGAUCAGAGGCCUGGGCCACCACGGUCUCUUCUUUAACGUUUCUAUUUUCUUAUCUUUAGGUAUGCCCCUUAUAGCACAAUAUUUUAUUAGAAUGUAUGUAUUAGUUAUAGAACUACCAAUAGGCCUGGAUGUAGUGGCGUAUGCCUUUAAGCCCAGCACUCUGGAGGCACACAGGCAGGCAGAUCUGAGUUAGAGCCCAUCCUGGCCUGCACAGUGAGAUCCUGUCUCAAAGCUAAACAAACGAAAAAUAGUAAGGCUGGCACUAGAAGAUUUUUUUUUAGUAGCCUGGAGACCAAUGUUCAGACCAAAGGUUGAUCAACGAGGGCCCUCAGACUAUGGUCUUGUAUUUGGCCACACCCACUAACUUACAAAGGCCAAUGGCAGAGUGCAAUAGUUUACCUGGAAAGCCACACUGCCCUGACACACAAAGUUGGCUGGCCCUACAGCUAGACCUGCACUCCCCAGAGGAGGUUAUUAAAUAACAAGUCAUACAAGAACCCUCUAAGGGGAAGGGAGAAAGAUUUGUGCAAAGGUAUAAUGACACGUGAAUGGACUUAAAAGUAAUUAAAUAUUUUUUUUCUCACUAGGUGUGGUGCACACCUUUGGUUCCAAUACUUGGGAGGCAGAGGCAAGUGGAUCCCUGAGUUUGAGGCUAGCCUGGUCUACAGGGCAUGGUGGUGUAUGUCCAGUAUGUCUAUCCAUCCAGCACACAGAAAGCUGAGGCAGGAGGAUUAAGGUUUCCUUGCCGGACUGGGCUAUAGAGAAACCCAAUCUCAAAGAAACAGAGAUCCUCUUUUAAAAAAACAAAAACAUCCACACCAUGGUCCUGUCUGUCUGAAAUGUCCCUUUCAAGAAGCACAUUAAAAGACGCUCAGAUGUUUCGUCCCAGAAA